RNAcentral lists this ribosomal RNA (161 nucleotides) under uncultured Fusarium. Its description in RNAcentral is "5.8S ribosomal RNA". It matches the Rfam family "5.8S ribosomal RNA". From Rfam's summary of the family: 5.8S ribosomal RNA (5.8S rRNA) is a component of the large subunit of the eukaryotic ribosome. Lineage: Eukaryota; Fungi; Ascomycota; Sordariomycetes; Hypocreales; Nectriaceae. The record is from RNAcentral.
AAACUUUCAACAACGGAUCUCUUGGUUCUGGCAUCGAUGAAGAACGCAGCAAAAUGCGAUAAGUAAUGUGAAUUGCAGAAAUUCAGUGAAUCAUCGAAUCUUUGAACGCACAUUGCGCCCGCUGGUAUUUCCGGCGGGCAAUGCCUGUUCGAGCGUCAUUU